Molecule: long non-coding RNA, 664 nt
Organism: Olea europaea var. sylvestris
Lineage: Eukaryota; Viridiplantae; Streptophyta; Magnoliopsida; Lamiales; Oleaceae
Exons: 3
Source: RefSeq, a predicted model, not a curated record
UCAUUCCAAAGCCUGAACCUCAAAUCCAAAACUUCGUCUCUUCUCAUGGAUUUGCACCGCCUCCAUGAAUAAUUCCUCUUCCUCACUAUCUCUGCCUCUUUCUCUUUGAGCAUAUAAAGAGAAAAGGGAACCUCAAAUUUCAAUCUUCACCAUCGUCGAUGGUGGGUCACAUGACCCACUAUUUUUUUUUCAUAUGUAUUUAAAUCAAAACAGAGUCCCACAGCAAUUGAAAUUCUAAUUGUUUUGCCGAUUACAAACAACAAUUGAACAGAGUUACAAAGCUCCAUUUCAAGCAACAAUUGAACAGAAUCCCAUUAGUCCCUUUUGAGUCCCAUUACAAGUAGCAAUUGAACGGUGUCCUUCCUUCCGCCAUCCCCUUGCUCCGUUGUGCGGGAGAUUUAGUCGACACGAGAGACAGGGAGAGAUUUUGCGGGUGUUGCUGUUGCCAAUUCAGCCGUCCGCCUCCUGUCGUCGCCAUAGCCAUCUGCUUCUGGAGCCUGCAGGUGCUGGAUUCACAGACAUUGAGGAUGUUGUUCCUUUCGUUAAAUGGCUGGAUGAUGAGCUCUCCACCUGGUUGAUGAAAGGGCAGUGCUAAAGCAUUUUGAUUGGCCUGAGAAGAGGGCAGAUGCAUUAAGAGAAGCUGCAUUUGCAUAUUGUGUGUCUG